This 253-nucleotide ribosomal RNA is filed under the name uncultured bacterium. RNAcentral describes it as "partial 16S ribosomal RNA". It matches the Rfam family "Bacterial small subunit ribosomal RNA", at positions 524 to 776 of the family's 1533-position model. The record is from RNAcentral.
UACAGAGGUCUCAAGCGUUGUUCGGAUUCAUUGGGCGUAAAGGGUCCGUAGGCGGCGCGGUAAGUCGGGUGUGAAAUCUCGGAGCUCAACUCCGAAACUGCCUUCAAUACUGCUGUGCUUGAGGACUGUAGAGGAGAAUGGAAUUCACGGUGUAGCAGUGAAAUGCGUAGAUAUCGUGAGGAAGACCAGUGGCGAAGGCGAUUCUCUGGGCAGUUCCUGACACUGAGGCACGAAGGCUAGGGGAGCAAACGGG